Benincasa hispida (wax gourd) is the source of this 1182-nucleotide non-coding RNA. The record is from RefSeq and is a predicted model, not a curated record. Lineage: Eukaryota; Viridiplantae; Streptophyta; Magnoliopsida; Cucurbitales; Cucurbitaceae.
UAAACCCUCGAAUCUCAUGCCUCAAAUUUGAACCUUCUCACUUUGUUCCUCAAUUCUCACGCACUCUCAGGUUUCAGCUACCCUCUUCAAUCUUCAUUUCACCCUUCACCACAAUCUUUCUCCCUCUAACAUUACACAACCCUCAAUCGCACACCCCAAGAUUCUCAUUCGCCUGCUUCUAGGUUCGUUCGCAAUUCAUUUUGACAUGCGGUUGUAUUACGGAGCCAAAGAGAUCCUAAAGAUUCAAAAAUUUCGAAGAAUUGUGUCCUAUACUGGAUUCUAUCUUUUCGUUUCCGUUUUGAGCUACGCUUAUACAAGCAAUACAACUAGAGCUGGGUAUUCUCGAGGAGAUCAAUUUUAUGCUUCUUACCCUGCUGGAACAGAGCUCUUGACAGACACUACGAAGUUGUACAAAGCUGCUCUUGGGAAUUGCUUUGAAAUAGAGGAAUGGGGUCCAAUUGAAUUCUACAUCAUGUCUAAACAUUUUGAACGUCAAGGAAAAUCGCCUUAUGCAUAUCAUUCUAUAAGAAACUAUUUCAUUGAUUGAUAAAAUAUCCAAAGGUAUACAAAAGAGUCCCGAUUGAAGGGAAUCCAAAAGAUAUUUCCAAUUUGUAAUAAGCAAUACAUGGCACAUCUUCUGUCUCAUGGACAACUUGAUGGAAGUGGGUAGAAAAACAUCAAAUCAACCAACGACCAAAGAGCUUGAACUUGUUUACUAGUGAACAUAAAUGGAUUUUUGCAGCCCUGUGUGCUGGAUAAUUUGAUUGCAGCCGACAGUGGGCAAAAGAGCAGCUACUGAAAUGGUAAGAUUGGGGAAGAAUUUGGCCUAUAAUCAUCUCAAUGUGAGUCAGUUUCAACAGCCAGAUCAAGAAAGCCAGCCUGUUCUGUAACAAUCAAACCUUCACUAUAUUGCCAGAGCCUCCAACAAAUCCACGUUCAACAAGAAAUUACAGAAAUUGCUUAAUGUCGGCAUAAUUUCCUCUCGUUCAUCUCAGAAAGACAAUCUUUGCCAAUGUUGUUUCAACUCCUUUACAUAACUAUAGAGCAUGUGUAGUGAAUUUUGCUUCAAGUAACCCCUCUUAGUAAGAUUACAAGUUGUAGGCAAAAGAUUGUGAACAUUUGAUUGUUCUUUACAUAUUCAUUGUGCUAAAAGUGUAUUAAUGUUCAAUUUAAUUUGAACUA